CUCAUUCUGUCACAAGAGGAACAUAUCUGCAUUUGUUUAUUAUACUGCCAGGACUGGAUAACAGGACUUUGUGGAAGCUUUACUUUUUGUGUAGUUGUUAGUUGGGACUGAAACAGAGGGCUGCUAUGGCUGACACACGCUCUCAGCCCCGGGCCUCUGGCUCGGCUGCUAAAAUGGACCAGGUUCAGAGUCAGGUGAACGAGGUUAAAGUUAUUCUGACAGAUGACAUCAGCAAAGUGCUGGAGAGAGAGGACAGAUUAUUAGAUGAUCUGAUCGGCAAGGCUGAUGCCCUGCAGGCGUGUGCUGACUUGUUCGAAAAAACACCCGGACAGGUUGCCCGGAAAUACUGGUGUAAAAGCAUGUGUUGUGAGGGGACUGCGGAUGGAAAUUAGCUUAAAGCAAAAAAUCCGGCUCAUUUACACUUGUAAGCAUUGUUUUUGUUUUAAAGUGUUCAUCGAUGUGCACUGUCCCGGUUCAAAUAAACGAUUAAAUAAAAUCUUUGCCACAAAUGUUAUAUAAAUCACCAAAUAUUCUCCUUCACCAGCUCAGGACUGAAAGCAGUGAAAAUUGAGGAUAAAGCUCACGUCUUUCAUUGAGCAUUUCAGCAUUUAAAUGCACUCUUGAAAGUGUAUUUUCAUUUCAGCAGAUAUUUUAAGAAAUAUUUAUGCACAUUUUAAGGGUACAUGUUUUUGUAGCAUCUGCAGGCUUUUUGACUCUCCGUAAAAUAAGAAGUUUAAAUUCAGAAUGCACAACUUAAAUUGCUAGAAACUUGACUGAAAUACUUCCUUGAACACUCCAACAUUCAUUAAAAUGUGACUUAAUGUUAAUAUUUCACAAAGGAUCACAAAUCCAAAUGAGUGUUAUUAUUUGUAUUGUUAUCGCAUAUCUUUAUGUCCAAUUACCUGUAAUGUGUGUUUAUGACUGUCAAACUCUAUAAUAACAUAUGUAUUAUAUGACUGAUGAUUAUGAUGAAGAGGAUACAUUUUAACAUUUGCUACCACAAUAUUGUAUAUAAAUAAUAUGUUCUGCUCCAAACAAUCAAGCAUUUUGAUUAUGUAAUUUGAGAGCAUUAAAUACAAAAACAAGAAGGG
Molecule: long non-coding RNA, 1091 nt
Organism: Trematomus bernacchii (emerald rockcod)
Lineage: Eukaryota; Metazoa; Chordata; Actinopteri; Perciformes; Nototheniidae
Exons: 3
Source: RefSeq, a predicted model, not a curated record